Gasterosteus aculeatus aculeatus (three-spined stickleback) is the source of this 924-nucleotide long non-coding RNA. NCBI's taxonomy places the organism in Eukaryota, Metazoa, Chordata, Actinopteri, Perciformes, Gasterosteidae. The record is from Ensembl.
CAGGAUCCAAGGGAGCGCUUCAGACACUUUGUUAAAUAUGCAUGGAGUGCUCCUGCACCCAAAAGUUAACCGCACUGCAAAGUAGAACGCCUCCCACCGGAUCCAGGAGAGAUGCCAUUGAGUCAGGAUUUCAUUCUGAUGUUUGGAGAGGAUGUAUCAGGCAAGCUUCCGGAGAGGUGGCAAACUACAAUCAAGAAAAACAUAAUCCAACGAUGCUGAAAGCUUCCAUCCAACAGUAGGCUUAAGGAACAUCUGCUGGCAGCUGAUCCGCCUGAGAAUCCCACUGAAGCCGAUCUUGACUUUUGUUUGGACAGUGACUUGUCUUGCAGAUGCACCUUAUUCCACCUUCUGCUCAAGGUUGUAAAAAAACAGGAAAGGUGUCUGCAUCCCAACCAAAGAAGCAUUUUGUGGCAUUCAAGAAGACUGGAACAAACAUCCAAGAGCACCGUGAUGCCAUCACUACGAGUACUCCACCCUACCUCCUGAUAUUUCGAGCAAGGAAGAAUGUGAUCCACCAGUUCUUCACCCUUGACAAGAAUUCCAUACCCCACAGGUCAACCUCUUCUCUUGGUGCUUUUUGAUGAACUGUUCAAGGCACAUAAAACGCCAUGCUACACAACACGUACACGUUCAUCCAAACUGCUGUCUAAAAUAUUGAUGUUGGCAAAGUCAAAGAGUCCUUGUGUUGCCAAAGUUCAUGGUUACUGGAAAUAUAUUCGCCUUAAAUGUGCGCAGACUGGAUGUGAGUGUUUGGUACUUUUUUCAGGUUUUAGGAAACAUUUACACACCAAACAAACAGUAUAUUGACCAAGAAGUUCACACUGAUGUUAAUUUAAGCAUCGUAGGAGAGUUGAUGUAGCAUGUGAGAUGCCUGUUUUGUACGACUAAAGAUGACAAUGUAUUACUGUUUGGAAAAUUGCUGGA